GCACGUAGAAGAACUGAAGUUUGAAGAACCGUGUGAGGAGUGGGCGAUUGUUCUCCAGCCGCCUGGCAAGAAGAAGAUGUAGAGACAGGGUUUCAAUGUGUUAGCCAGGCUGGUCUUGAACUCCUCACCUCGUGAUCCACCCGCGUCGGCCUCCCAAAGUGCUGGGAUCACAGGCGUGAGCCACCGCGCCCGGCUACUAUGGAAACUUUCAAACAUACCCCAAAUUAAAAGAAUCGUGGGCUCUGA
This is a long non-coding RNA of Homo sapiens (human), 246 nucleotides long. RefSeq lists it as uncharacterized. Lineage: Eukaryota; Metazoa; Chordata; Mammalia; Primates; Hominidae. The transcript has 2 exons. The record is from RefSeq and is a predicted model, not a curated record.